UUAUUCCUAUGGGACGCAGCAGUAGGGAAUAUUGCUCAAUGGGGGAAACCCUGAAGCAGCAACGCCGCGUGGAGGAGGAAGGUUUUCGGAUUGUAAACUCCUUUUGUUAGAGAAGAUAAUGACGGUGUCUGACGAAGAAGCACCGGCUAACUCCGUGCCAGCAGCCGCGGUAAUACGGAGGGGGCAAGCGUUAAUCGGAAUCACUGGGCGUAAAGACCGCGUAGGCGGGAGAGCAAGU
Molecule: ribosomal RNA, 238 nt
Filed under: uncultured bacterium
Lineage: Bacteria
Description: partial 16S ribosomal RNA
Rfam family: Bacterial small subunit ribosomal RNA
Source: RNAcentral